Molecule: non-coding RNA, 93 nt
Organism: Mycena latifolia
Lineage: Eukaryota; Fungi; Basidiomycota; Agaricomycetes; Agaricales; Mycenaceae
Source: the annotation of a GenBank genome assembly
GCUUUCGUGGAUUAGAGUGUCAAAUCACCUUGAAGCUGUUUCCAAUUCACAUCCCUUCUCAAGGAGACAUGGGUUCAAAUCCCAUCGGAGGCA